This 252-nucleotide ribosomal RNA is filed under the name uncultured bacterium. RNAcentral's name for it is "partial 16S ribosomal RNA". It matches the Rfam family "Bacterial small subunit ribosomal RNA", at positions 525 to 776 of the family's 1533-position model. The record is from RNAcentral.
ACGGAGGGGGUUAGCGUUGUUCGGAAUUACUGGGCGUAAAGCGUACGUAGGCGGAUCAGAAAGUUGGGGGUGAAAUCCCGGGGCUCAACCCCGGAACUGCCUCCAAAACUCCUGGUCUUGAGUUCGAGAGAGGUGAGUGGAAUUCCAAGUGUAGAGGUGAAAUUCGUAGAUAUUUGGAGGAACACCAGUGGCGAAGGCGGCUCACUGGCUCGAUACUGACGCUGAGGUACGAAAGUGUGGGGAGCAAACAGG